This 497-nucleotide ribosomal RNA is filed under the name uncultured bacterium. RNAcentral's name for it is "partial 16S ribosomal RNA". It matches the Rfam family "Bacterial small subunit ribosomal RNA", at positions 28 to 507 of the family's 1533-position model. The record is from RNAcentral.
GAUGAACGCUGGCGGCGUGCCUAAUACAUGCAAGUCGAGCGAACAGACGAGGAGCUUGCUCCUCUGACGUUAGCGGCGGACGGGUGAGUAACACGUGGAUAACCUACCUAUAAGACUGGGAUAACUUCGGGAAACCGGAGCUAAUACCGGAUAAUAUAUUGAACCGCAUGGUUCAAUAGUUAAAGACGGUUUUGCUGUCACUUAUAGAUGGAUCCGCGCCGCAUUAGCUAGUUGGUAAGGUAACGGCUUACCAAGGCAACGAUGCGUAGCCGACCUGAGAGGGUGAUCGGCCACACUGGAACUGAGACACGGUCCAGACUCCUACGGGAGGCAGCAGUAGGGAAUCUUACGCAAAGGGCGAAAGCCUGACGGAGCAAAGCCGCGUGAGUGAUGAAGGUCUUAGGAUCGUAAAACUCUGUUAUUAGGGAAGAACAAAUGUGUAAGUAACUAUGCACGUCUUGACGGUACCUAAUCAGAAAGCCACGGCUAACUACGUG